RNAcentral lists this ribosomal RNA (254 nucleotides) under uncultured bacterium. RNAcentral describes it as "partial 16S ribosomal RNA". It matches the Rfam family "Bacterial small subunit ribosomal RNA", at positions 524 to 776 of the family's 1533-position model. The record is from RNAcentral.
UACGUAGGGGGCUAGCGUUGUCCGGAAUCAUUGGGCGUAAAGAGCGUGUAGGCGGCCCGGUAAGUCCGCUGUGAAAGUCGGGGGGCUCAACCCUCGAAUGCCGGUGGAUACUGUCGGGCUAGAGUGCGGAAGAGGCGAGUGGAAUUCCUGGUGUAGCGGUGGAAUGCGCAGAUAUCAGGAGGAACACCAAUGGCGAAGGCAGCUCGCUGGGACGUGACUGACGCUGAGACGACGAAGCGUGGGGAGCAAACAGG